Molecule: non-coding RNA, 4062 nt
Organism: Phasianus colchicus (ring-necked pheasant)
Lineage: Eukaryota; Metazoa; Chordata; Aves; Galliformes; Phasianidae
Source: RefSeq, a predicted model, not a curated record
GGAAAAAAUAUGAAAUUAUAUUUGAUCAAUUAUAUUUGAUCCUUUUUUAUAAAGCACAAAUUGAAGUGUUAUGUUUCUUACUGAAAGUUAUCUGACCACAGAUGAAAAAGUGUGGGAAAACCACAGCAGAGCAACAGCAAGAAGAAGCUCAACCCCAGACCUUGUCAGAGGAUGCAGUGGACACAGAGAGUCUCCGGAGAUAUGUUGCAGCUCCUGGGGAUUUGGAAAGAAAACAAACAAAGCCAAACUAUCCCUUGAGUGGAACAAUUCCAGUUCAGUUUCAUAAAUCAGAUACAGUUUGGAUCUGUUGAAAAAACUCUGUAAGAAAUGUCAGAAAGAGAUCAGUCAGUACACCUGAGAAAUUCUAUUGGGGUGUAAAAUCUCAUAGUUUUGUAAUCAAUCUAUGGGGAUGGAAAAGUUCAUUCCCUGGUGAGUGGGUACUGCAGAUUCCAACUGUUUUUGCAGAAUCAUCUUUUUUCUCCGUUUGUCAUCCCAGGACUCUAGAAGUGGUGUUACAGUACCUCUCACAAUUAGCUCAGAGUGAGAGAGGUAUAUGAAUAGCAUUAGAACUCCAUUCCCAAUGGACUGUUUGUUCUUCAUGGCUAUUUUAUUUUAUAGUCCAGUUAUCAUCCUACUCCACAAAUGUCUAAUCAGAUAGCAAGUGCUUCCUUGGGGCCUUAGGAUCCUUCAUAUAAUUUGGGGACAACGCUGAAACAGGUAAGGUCAGUGUCACCUGAAACAGAAUAAUACAUUUCUUAUUAAUAGUCUAAGUGUUUUCCCCUGAUUUCCAAGUGACUGAGAAUAGCAGGCACAAUCCUUCCGUUUUCAUAUUUAGAGCAACCGCAACACUGAAGUGCAGACCUUGGGCAACAUGAGUGGCCAGUGAAUCACAGAGAACACAAAGGACAAGGUUUUUAUAACAUGUCAGCUAGCCCCUGAUAGCUACCAUGUGGUGAUAACGACUAUUCAGUCCAAGCCCUAAAUGAGAUGGAGAAAGUGCACGUGUAAAGAAGGAACGCAUCUCUGCAGUGAUGUUCCUAUUCCUACAAUUUCUGCAGUUCCUGGAAAAAGAAUGAAUUCAGAGGCCUGGACUGUUAACACUGAACUUACUGAUGUGGAUGUUGUGGAGAGCCUAGUGGUGCAAAUCACAUAUGUCUAUAAAGAAGGAAAAUUGAUUGUGUCACAGCAAAUGAGCUGCUGCUGGUCUGAUCAGCCUCAUGAAGUCAAGGUUUGCACUCAAGUGCCAUUAGUUUGGAGUUACAUGUCAGGUAUAAUUUAAUACUGAGAAUCUAGAAUUGUCUGACUGGACUUUGGAGAGAGCCUAACCCCUCUGUUCUGCAUGUCAAAUUAACUACCCAGUAGUGAGUUCCCCUGGCAAAGUGAUCACCCGUUGGCCAGCUGCCACACCACAAAGCUCCCCAUACAACCGUCUCAGAAAUGGAAACUUGUUAUUCUUUAGCUGCCCUGUGAAUACCCGUUCUGUCAAGGCUGGAGGGAAAUAUUUGGGGCAGGCAGGCUGAGAAAACAGAGAGGUGUUGGGUGUCAGAAUUGAUUUAAAUGGGCUGCAGCUUUGCGCAUAAGCACUGGAGCUCAGCAGCCAGAGGAUGGAAGGUACCAAGAGCUGGGGGCUUUACAGGCAGAAGAAAGUGUGCUAGAGAUAACCUUGAAUGCCCAAGAGCUUCAUUUGGAUGUAAGAAGAGAGCAUUGUUUGUUCCAGCAUGACAUGUGAGGUCUUCCUAAGUUUCACAAGCAUUCACAGGUAGCAGUUGUGUUUACAGGACUCCUGGUACACUGCUGCUGGCAAAUCAAUGAACAUUACUCCCCAGAUGCCCUUACAGGCUGAGCUGCCAGGGGACCAGGUAAGUAUGAGAAUAACAGACUCAGUCUCAGCAAAUGUGAUUCUGUGAUUCUGAAAUGACCUCUACUUGAGUCUGUUGUGGAGUUAACAGUUCCCAGUGAUCGCAGUGACAAAGCCUUCUUACAGAACUUCAGUAUGCACUAAGCACUUUUGGGUGCUUGUCCAUCAAAGAGAUCCCAGUGUCCCUAUAGCCUCUGCCUUAUUCAAACAAGGAGACCUGCUGGAGCACCUAUCUCUCUAACUGUAAAGAAAAAUGGGCUGGUAAGGGUUGGUGAAUAUCAUCUGUCAUCCUGUCAUGCAAUUCGUACGUAUUCAGAGCAUGUCCAGAUGCCAGGAUUUGGAAAGUGGCAAAUCUGGAUGCCUUGAUAUAAAAAUGAUCAUGAUUGAGAAUCAUAGGAUCCCGACUGUCCCAAGGUCUCCAGCCCAAGACCCUGCUCAAAGCAGAGUCAUCUAUGUGAGCAAACCAGACUGCUCAGGGCUUGCUCAGAGAGCACAGAUCUUGGAAACAGAUACACAUAUUUGCCAUUUUGUUCAGAAGGACAUGCCAUAUAUUUUCUAUUUUCUUAGUCAUAAAUGAUAUUAGUUCUUCGUACUUUCAAGUAUUUUUUCCCCAGUUUCCACCAUUGAAUGUCAACUCCAAUCUAUGAUGCCUAAACAGAGCUGAGACAAAGGACAGGAAACCUGAAUAAAUAUGUUAGUGACAAAUCUGUUUCACUUUUCUUCCAAAUCUAUUCUGAAACUGUUGCUAGGCUUGGCAAAGUAGCCUACAUUAAAACAUAUCUUGCAUUAAGCCACUUCCUUUCUACUCAUAAAUUUAGUUUUCUCUUUCUUUUCUACUGCCUGUCACCUGAAGUUCUGAGGAUUUUCAGGAGACUUUCUGGUUUAUUCCACCUCACAGAGGAAGACCCCUUGACUCAUUUUCUUUCUCCUUUCUCAUAUUCAGUAGCCUUACAGACAAGCAAUCCUUCUAAAAUCCAUUUUGUAUCAAGAAAGAGCAAAUCUAGUUACACUCUGCAUUACAUAUCACUGUUACAUGUGUGCAUUUACAUUGUUCACUUGCUUACAGUAAUAGAGAUAUGUUUACCAUAAUUUAUUUUCAUAAUUUAUUUAUUUUGCAAAUACCAACAUACUCAACUCAUUGUUAACAAUUCCGUUGGGCACAACCUAGUAUGGGGUAUUCUGACCUGUCACCCCAUCAACAGUUGAGCUGGUUCAGUAUAUUUUCUUACUUAGCUCUUCUAGCACUCUUGAUAAUCCUGAUUUAACAUCUUCAAAGGCAUCAUUCUGCAGAGCCUGUGAGUCUACAAUAAAAGUGCCGAGACUUGUCAGGUUUUCUGCCUUAGAGAUGCCCAUCACUUCAGGCUUGAUGUGAUGUUUAUCUCUGAUAAACAGCUUGCUCAAAGACAUCAUCUGAAUUUGGAUAUAGUACAUUAGCAGCUUCUUAAUCUGGUUCAAUCUUUAUGCUUGGGCUGGCAAGCUACUCAGAAAAGAUGCUCACAUUUAUUUUCCCUCAUCCUGAGCCUCCAGAGAAUGUGGAUGGUCAACAGGCUUCAUAAGGCCAAAGAAUUAAGCGGACAUUGUACUGGUAUGCAGCAUAAAAUAUAUUUAAAUCACACAAGAGUUUUUAGUGGUCUCUGACAGAUAAGAGAACUAGAUAUCUUUAAUUCUAAUGAGAAAUUAGUCUGUUUGCAGGGAUGUCUACAUAAAGAGAAAGAAAAGUAUACCUGAAAUAUGUGUCUAUCAUCACUUCUUUCCAAUGAAGAACAUUUUCAUAUUGAUAUACUGAUGAACAAUAUCUAAAAGCAGUAGACUUUUGUAAAUCUACUUGUGGGUAUGGACUUUUUCCCUUAACAUAACUUGAAUCAAUUUGUGUUGCCUAAUCUGUAUCUAGAAGUUUAAUGCUACUUUCAUAGGCAUUUCCAAAGUAUUAGGGCAUUUACUAGUCUUUUUAACUACUGUUUAUAUGACAAGAUUGCUUUACAAAAAAGCUUUUGUUAUUUAUUAUAAAUGCUAGGGGGUAGCUGACUAUUUGAUGAGAUGCUGGAUUAACUUGUGUGUGUUUUGGAAAAAUAAGUACUCUAAUCUCAGAGCAGGCCUGAAGUAUUCACUCAUCAAUAUUAAUAUCUGAAGAUGUACCACAAAGGGACUGAUCAGAAAUGCUGUGAAAGGCAAGAAGGUUGUAAAGUUUGGUGUGGAAUAAUAGA